CUACGGGGGGCAGCAGUGAGGAAUAUUGCACAAUGGGGGGAACCCUGAUGCAGCAACGCCGCGUGGAGGAUGACGCAUUUCGGUGUGUAAACUCCUUUUAUAUGUCAAGAAAAUGACGGUAGCAUAUGAAUAAGCACCGGCUAACUCCGUGCCAGCAGCCGCGGUAAUACGGAGGGUGCAAGCGUUACUCGGAAUCACUGGGCGUAAAGGACGCGUAGGCGGGUUGGAAAGUCAGGUGUGAAAUCCUACAGCUUAACUGUAGAACUGCAAUUGAAACUUCUAAUCUAGAGUAUGGGAGGGGGAGAUGGGAUUAGUGGUGUAGGGGUAAAAUCCGUAGAUAUCACUAGGAAUACCUAAAGCGAAGGCGAUCUCCUGGAACAUUACUGACGCUAAGGCGUGAAAGCGUGGGGAGCAAACAGGAUUAGAUACCCCGGUAGUC
This 439-nucleotide ribosomal RNA is filed under the name uncultured bacterium. Its description in RNAcentral is "partial 16S ribosomal RNA". It matches the Rfam family "Bacterial small subunit ribosomal RNA", at positions 339 to 795 of the family's 1533-position model. The record is from RNAcentral.